Molecule: ribosomal RNA, 468 nt
Filed under: uncultured bacterium
Lineage: Bacteria
Description: partial 16S ribosomal RNA
Rfam family: Bacterial small subunit ribosomal RNA (bases 20-332)
Source: RNAcentral
GACGAACGCUGGCGGCGUGCUUAACACAUGCAAGUCGAACGGAAAGGCCCUGCUUUUGUGGGGUGCUCGAGUGGCGAACGGGUGAGUAACACGUGAGUAACCUGCCCUUGACUUUGGGAUAACUUCAGGAAACUGGGGCUAAUACCGGAUAGGAGCUCCUGCUGCAUGGUGGGGGUUGGAAAGUUUCGGCGGUUGGGGAUGGACUCGCGGCUUAUCAGCUUGUUGGUGGGGUAGUGGCUUACCAAGGCUUUGACGGGUAGCCGACCUGAGAGGGUGACCGGGGACAAGGGGCCUGUGGUACGCACCAGACGGGUAGAGGGGGCAGCAGGGGGGAGUAGGGUACAACGGGCGGGUGCGGGAGAAGGACUCGCUGGGGGGGGGAAGACGGUUUGCGGGGAAAGAAAAGCUGUAGGUUGAGACGAAGCGGGCGUGAAGGGAAUGAAUAAAGAAGCAACGGCUAACUUCGUG